This 391-nucleotide ribosomal RNA is filed under the name uncultured bacterium. RNAcentral describes it as "bacterial SSU rRNA". It matches the Rfam family "Bacterial small subunit ribosomal RNA", at positions 28 to 424 of the family's 1533-position model. The record is from RNAcentral.
GACGAACGCUGGCGGCGUGCUUAACACAUGCAAGUCGAACGGUAAGGCCCUUCGGGGUACACGAGUGGCGAACGGGUGGAGUAACACGUGGGUGAUCUGCCCUGCACUUCGGGAUAAGCUUGGGAAACUGGGUCUAAUACCGGAUAGGACCACGGUCUGCAUGGAUUGUGGUGGAAAGCUUUUGCGGUGUGGGAUGGGCCCGCGGCCUAUCAGCUUGUUGGUGGGGUGAUGGCCUACCAAGGCGACGACGGGUAGCCGGCCUGAGAGGGUGUCCGGCCACACUGGGACUGAGAUACGGCCCAGACUCCUACGGGAGGCAGCAGUGGGGAAUAUUGCACAAUGGGCGCAAGCCUGAUGCAGCGACGCCGCGUGGGGGAUGACGGCCUCGGUU